Chenopodium quinoa (quinoa) is the source of this 5353-nucleotide long non-coding RNA. RefSeq lists it as uncharacterized. The record is from RefSeq and is a predicted model, not a curated record. The transcript is spliced from 5 exons. Lineage: Eukaryota; Viridiplantae; Streptophyta; Magnoliopsida; Caryophyllales; Amaranthaceae.
GAAAUACGAAUAAAAAAACUAUAAAUGAGAAAAUUUAGGAUAGGUUUUUCCCAAAAAAAUAUAAUAAUCAAGACCAGUUUUUUUUUUUAAUUUUUUUUGGGGGGGAGUAAGAACAGUUGAAGAUAUAAAUUUACGUGGUAGAAGUGGAUUAGUUAUUAUACGGUAUUUUUUUAUUUUUUAUAUUUGAAAGAAUAUUAUAGAGUAGUUAUGAUAAGUAUUUUUUUUGAUAAAAAUAAUUUUUAAUUUUUAAUUGAAAAUUAAAGUGGUGAUAUUGCAAAUUGAGAAGGACGACAUUUUAGGAAAAAGUAAAUUUAUCACACCAGAAGCCCUUUCUCUUUAUAUAUAUGUAUUUAGGACCGAGUUAUAAUGAGAACCAAUCCUAUUAUAGGAACUAGGAACUAAUUAGGCCGUUAGAUUUUCCUUGGAUGCGCGCUAGAUGAGCGGCUGAGAUUAAUCUAAACUUAUUAGGCACAUUCACUCGUUUCACUCUCCUCAAGCAUUUUCUCUCUCCUCCAUAGCAACGAGUGCCUCUGAAUUCUCCAUUGAAGCGGCUUUCUAGCUUUCUCUACUCCAAUGAAGCAGCUUCUGAGGAAAAGAUGUUGAUCAAACCUAACUACUUUUACAAUUUGAUGAACUUGCUGCAAUUUUAUCAACUUCAGAGGAGACUUUGAAGUAAGCGAUUUCUACUAGUUGUGGCAAUUUUAAUAACGUACUCAAUUGGGGGCAAGUAGAGAUACACUUUUCAGUUGCAAGGACAGAACCAGAUGCAAUUUUCUGAACAAUCAGCGAGUCAUCAAUAUCAAGGCAGGCAGCUGCCCACUGGACAUAUUGGACAAACCCAACUGAACCAAGGAACCCAGCUCAACCAUCAUAUUGGCCAAUUUCCUGGAGCUGCUAAUACAACUUUGUUCAAUGCUGCUCAGAAUUCACCUAAUGCUCUUGUGGUAGAACAUGCACCUCAACUUUUACUUAAUCUAUGAUUACAUUCUACUUUUUCAGUUAUAUGUCCUUAAAACAAUUUGCUGCUGUCUUUUUUGCAUGUUUGCAUUAGACAUACGUGCUGAGUGUAAUGUCUCUUUUUGACAAAUUGACAACCAUUGGUCUUUUUCUCCUUCCCAUUUAGAUGUCCAUUCCGAUUAGUAUGUGUAUAAGAAAUGGACUAGACUUAAGGAUGACAUGAGAAUUAUCGAUGUAUAGAUGCAAACUGAAUAAUCGAAUGUGUUAUCUUGUAUUGACCCUUGCAUUAUUAGUGAACACUCAAGCACAAUGGGAUGGAGGUGGGAUCGGGGGCUGAAUUAUGGGAUAUCCAUGCAAUAUUUGUAAUCAAUGUUUUAAUCUCUUGGGUAAAAAAUUUUUAAUGCUGGAAAUUAAAAUUACUAUUAUGGAUCAUGUAAGAAAGAAGAAUUUGGUGUACUGUAAGUCAGCUUUUACUUUUUAUCACGGUUGCAAGAAUGUUAUUUUCACUUGUCUAACUGUCAAGCAAAUUUAUUAUAAGAUAAACCUAAGGUUCAUUGCUUGCUUAUAUACUGUGCUAAAAUUAAACUAUGAUGUCUCCAAUUACAUUAUCAAUUUCAAAAGUUGAUAGAAACCAAAUAAAAGUAAACUAGUUAUAUUCUAAAGUAAACCGAUAUGCAUAUUUGGGUGGCCCUACAUUUUUUGUAGAGGAUAUCAGGUCUUGUGAUUAAUUUACCUGAAUUUUGUUUGGAACAAAUUUAUUUAUAAAGAGGAAUUUCCAAUGAAAAAAAAAACUUGAAAAGGUACCACAUAGGACUACAUUGGUGAAAUGAAAAUUGAGCACAACUGAAUUGCACUAUUUUGGGACAAACCUAACUAGGAUGUGUUCUUUUUGCCUCCAACUUAUCAAUCUUUGUUAUGUUACUAUGCUUAUCAAUCUUUGUUCUGGAACAUUGUCUCUCUAGACUGGCAGACAAGAGCUUUGGUUUUGUACCCGUUUUGUAUGAUUAUGCUGCUCAAUCUUUUUUAAAGCUACAUUUUGUCUGGAUAUAGAGCUAUGGUUUUAUACCCCAGUCUACAUUAUUGAUAUAUGGCUACUAUGAAGAAAGGCAGCACCAGCUGAAUCUGAAGACUAGUGUCAUCAGCAGUGCAUGCAACCCAGGGUUUGAUUUAUUUCCUGCUGAAGCAUUUGAGUUAUUUCUCAUCAGAUUUUCUUGUGGCGAAGAUAAUAUCAUUUUAUUAAUUUGGUGGUCAAUUUCUCACGAGGUUGUGGCAAUCAAGUUUUCUUGCAUAUUAGUUCUGAUCUCAGGUACCUUUUUUUUUUCUUUUGGUAAUUUUGUGUUUUUAAUCAUCUACUUUUUCAACAAUUUUUCAUACAAAGCUCAAAUUUAUCAACAUUGAUCUCAUUGAGAAAUAAACCAAGUGUCUCUAAAAGUAAAUACAAAAGAAUAUAAAGUUAGUAAAACAAGCUAUAAAGUAAAUCUAUUGGCUCAAAUGGUAGAGCACUAUGCGGAUGCAUAAAGGUGUAGGUUCAAUUCCUACAUAGGUUAUCUCUAAAAGUAAAUAUAAAAUACUCUAAAGUUAUGCAAAAUACCUCAAAAGUAAAUUAAAAUAACCAAAAAGUAAAACAACUUAGCUUUAAGAUAUACAGAAAAUUAGUUAGCUUUGCAGGUAUUUUGUCAUCAUUAAACCUGAAAACUUAAAAAAAUCACAGUAUCAAGCUUCAGCUCUAUUAUUUCUACCUCCAACUUAAAGUAAACAUGAAACACUUUAAAGUUAUUUAAAAUGUCACAAAAGUAAAUAAAACAUAACUAUAAAGUUAUUUCAAGUUACACAUGACGUUUGACUUCUAUUCUCCAGAGUGCAUCGCAGCAGCUAUCAUCAAGUAUUGAAAGAUCAGACAUGGCAAUAUAAAAUCAGGUACUGCCCUGAUUGAGAUUCAAGAUGGCUCUUUCGCUUUGAUUAUUUGAUUAGAGAAAACAAUCAAGCUAAGUCAGGGAUUAAACAAUUAACAUGCAAUACUUGCUCAACUUAUUUAAUUAAAUGCCUAACUAAACUCUAAAACAAAGUCUAGUCUCCAUAUUAGACAAAUGAACCUAAUUUUGCACAAGGGUAGAGCACUAUGCAUCAUAUGUCAAAAGUAGAUAAAAAUAAUAAUAAAAAGUAAAUCAAAAUAUUCUAAAAGUAAAUAAAAAAAGCUCAAAUGUAGAGUAAAUAAUAAAAAAUUAUUUAAUAAAUAAAAUCAGGUACUGCCCUGAUUGAGAUUCAAGAUGGCUCUUUCGCUUUGAUUAUUUGAUUAGAGAAAACAAUCAAGCUAAGUCAGGGAUUAAACAAUUAACAUGCAAUACUUGCUCAACUUAUUUAAUUAAAUGCCUAACUAAACUCUAAAACAAAGUCUAGUCUCCAUAUUAGACAAAUGAACCUAAUUUUGCACAAGGGUAGAGCACUAUGCAUCAUAUGUCAAAAGUAGAUAAAAAUAAUAAUAAAAAGUAAAUCAAAAUAUUCUAAAAGUAAAUAAAAAAAGCUCAAAUGUAGAGUAAAUAAUAAAAAAUUAUUUAAUAAAUAACCUACGUGGGACUCGAACCCGCAUCUUUUGUGCAAUUGCACAAUGCUCUACCGAUUGAGCUAGUAGGCUAUCAUUAUUAAUUUCUUCAUAUAUAUAUCAAAGUAACUAAAACAAUAGAAAAGUAAAUAAAAAAUCCUCAAAAGUUAAUAUUCUAAAGGUAGCAUUUGUUUUCUUAGUUUAGGAGAUUCCUAUCCAUAUGUGUUGUUGCAAAAGGAGAACAAUAAUAUAAGUGCAAAUGCAUUUUUGCAAGCCUUCUCUUAAAACACAAAUGUAGACAUGCUCCAAGUACAACUAAGCAUGUCAUUACCUUCGGCUUUGAAAUAAACCAGUUUGAUGUAGGUGGUGACUAUUGAGGAGAUCCUUCAGCAUUAACAAUAAAAUGAUUAGUAAUAAUUUGGAUGGAGCCUAUUUACAACUUGUGCCAAAUGAGCAAUCCUAACAAUUUAAUUCAAGUUCAACAUAUGUCGUUGUGGUCUUUUUCUUUUUCUAAUUACAGAACAAGUAUAUUAGCUAUAUAUUGAUAAUAGAUAGAGUUAAAUUAGUUAAAAUUCCAAGAGAUAAUACUCAAAUCAAGUAACGCAUCCCCCUUCCGUUAUAGGGAGUUGAAUAUACUGUCCUCCAUAGUUGAAAAUCACCGCAAAUAAAAUAUAGUAAAUUAAUUAUAUAAUAGGAAUAAAGUAUGACAACAAGAGCAUACAAUUUUGCAGUCUAUUAGGCAUAUAUAGCUACAAUAGAAGUAUGAAGGUCGUCCUACUCAUAAUGCUUUAAAACAAUGUUAAGAACGUAAAAGCUAACACAAUCAACUUUCUCCGAGAUAUUAAUCAUAGUCAAGCAUGCAAGCUAUACUAUCAUUCAUUUCAUACAAGUAGAGAUUAAUGUAACAGCAAAAUAUAAGACAUUUCCCUACUUCAAUACAUUGAACAAGAUACUAUUGCCUCGCAAAUCGCAAUUGCAAACUCCCAAGGCAUAAAACUGAAACAAAAACUCAUAAAAGUGAAUAAGAUUUUAUAAAAAGUAAUUAUCCAAAAGUAAAUAAUUAUCCAACCACCCAAAGUAUAUCCCUGAUGAUAAUUCAAUUCACCAUUGAAUUAUCCCCUGGAAAAAAAUUAGAAAUGCAUUGCACUUUUCAAAAACUAAAAAAUUAUACAGUAUGUCAUUGCACAAAGUUUAGCAACAAAUCAUAAAAUUUCACCAAAACAGUAUGAAAUUAUUGAUCUAAUUAUAAAUUAAAGAGAAAAAUCACAAAAACCGAAACAAAAAAUAGUGAAAACCCUAGUUUUCGCAAUUUAAUUCACAUAAUAUUAAAAAAUAGAAUUAAAACAAAUUCAAAAAUGAUAAUCGAAAUCAAAUUAACUUGUUCAUAGAUAACCAACAACAAAGAUCGAAGAACAUAAUCAAUGAAUCAGAUAUGCGAUAAAAAGGAAAAAAAAUAGCAAAAAUCCUGAUUUCAAAUUAAAAACAAUCGAGAAUUAAAUAAGCAGUAACUAAUUAAAUAAAAAGAAAAAACAAAUACAAAAUCAGUAACUUACUUGUUCAAUAUAACAGGUGCAAAAAAUCGAAAAAAAAAAUUUAAGAAUUUGAUGCGAAGAACAGUGAAAAAUCGCACUAGGGAGAAUUUGAAGGAAGAGAGAGAAAGAGUGACGAAGAGAGAGAUAAGGAAAAAGGAAACUGAUGAUUUUUUGGAGUAGUCAUUCAAAGUACCGAUUUCCUAUUUUGCCCUUAAUGAGGCGGGUGAGAUCUCAACCGUUAGAUGAAGUGUAAUCAACUGUAGGGAUGAGUUCUUAGUUCCUAUUAUAGGACUUGGUUCUCACAUGAUCCUGAUUCUCUCUCUCU